CGUUGUUGCUCCUAGACGUUUUCACUUCAAAAACAGCACUUAAAAUUUGACCUACCUAUGAUGGUGCCACGUUGAAAAUCAAUGAGCUCUUCAGUAAGGCCAUUCUACUGCUAAUGUUUGUCAAUGGAGAUUGCGUGGCUGCGUGCUCGAUUUUAUACACCUGUCAGCAACAGGUGUGGCUGUAAUAGCCAAAUUCACUAAUUUGAAGACGUGUCCACAUACUUAUGUAUAUAUAGUGUAUUUUCUACAGAUGGUCAUACUAUCAACAAACUGUUGUUAAUAAACUGCUUGCUAGGGUUAGAAAAAGGCUUUGGUUUAGGUUUAGAAUAAGGCUUUGGUUUAGAAUAAGGCUUUAGUUUAGGUUUAGAAUAAGGCUUUAGUUUAGAAUAAGGCUUUAGUUUAGAAUAAGGCUUUGGUUUAGGUUUAGAUUGAAGACAUUUAUUCACUUCUCAACUGUUUUAUUUGAUGUUUGUAUUGAUUGUUUCAUUACAAUAUUUAAAGCUUAUACUAGCAUCUACAUCUCUACAGUUGAUGAAUUAUGCCUAGCUCUGUGUGUGUGUGUGUGUGUGUGUGUGUGUGUGUGUGUGUGUGUGUGUGUGUGUGUGUGUGUGUGUGUGUGUGUGUGUGUGUGUGUGUGGGGGGGGGGGUGUGUGUGUGUGUGUGUGUGUGUGUGUGUGUGUGUGUGUGGGUGUG
Molecule: long non-coding RNA, 693 nt
Filed under: Salmo salar (Atlantic salmon)
Lineage: Eukaryota; Metazoa; Chordata; Actinopteri; Salmoniformes; Salmonidae
Description: lncRNA (ENSSSAG00000097322.1, ENSSSAG00000102469.1)
Source: RNAcentral